This 406-nucleotide ribosomal RNA is filed under the name uncultured bacterium. Its description in RNAcentral is "partial 16S ribosomal RNA". It matches the Rfam family "Bacterial small subunit ribosomal RNA", at positions 28 to 526 of the family's 1533-position model. The record is from RNAcentral.
GACGAACGCUGGCGGCGUGCCCAAUACAUGCAAGUAGGACGAGUUGCGAACGGGUGAGCAAUGUCUGGGAAACUGCCCGAGGGAGGGGGAUAACAACUGGAAACGGUAGCCAAUAACGCAUAGCAUCGGACGUGCCCAGAUGGGAUUAGCUUGUAGGUGGGGUAACGGCUAACCUAGGCGACGAUCCCUAGCUGGUCUGAGAGGAUGACCAGCCCCACUGGAACUGAGACACGGUCCAGACUCCUACGGGAGGCAGCAGUGGGGAAUAUUGCACAAUGGGCGCAAGCCUGAUGCAGCCAUGCCGCGUGUAUGAAGAAGGCCUUCGGGUUGUAAAGUACUUUCAGCGAGGAGGCGUUACUCGCAGAAGAAGCACCGGCUAACUCCGUGCCAGCAGCCGCGGUAAUUC